This 694-nucleotide long non-coding RNA is filed under the name Cicer arietinum (chickpea). RNAcentral describes it as "long non-coding RNA (CARI_LNC003059)". Lineage: Eukaryota; Viridiplantae; Streptophyta; Magnoliopsida; Fabales; Fabaceae. The record is from RNAcentral.
UUCUCUAUUGCUGCCCUUGCUCAGUGUCAAACCUUGCUCUGUUGAUGCUGACUGCUAUUGAUGCACACGUCAUGCUUAUUGAUACAUUUGUACCUAUUGUAACUAAUUAGAGAAAUAAAAAGAUAAUUUUUAUAAGUCAGCCAUUGUACAUAUUAUACAUAGCAAAGAGACAAACUUUUGAGUUUUUAAAAAGAACUAAAGGACAAAUAAAAGCGCAACAAAUGAACAGAUGAAAAAAUAUAGGCUAAAACCAUGAAUGCUUCAGAUGUGUAGAAAAAUGCAGAUGAUGAGCAAAAGAAAAUAAGCAUCAAACAAGGAACUAGAAAGCUCAAACUCAAACAGAGGCACAAACAAAGAAAGCAACUGAACAAUUAAAGAAAACUCUAUAAAUAGAGUCUCGUUUUUUCAGAAAAAAAGGAGGGAGUUUUUUUUUUUUUUUUGAGGGAGAUCAGUGAAAAAGACUUUUAGUUUGAAUGUUUUGAAACAUGAGAUGAUUAAUAGAAAAAUCAAAUUUGUGUGUGAAAACGAAAAGAAUAGAGAAAAGGAGAAAACUCAAACCUUCGUACUGUCACCAUAGCCGUUGGAACAACAACUGUGCUUUUCAGCAACGGCCGCACCCUCCUCCUUGGUCUCUUCUCCUUCUCGCGGCCUCAUCUUGGUAUCUUUUCGCCUCUUUCUUCUUUUUAUUUCUUUC